AUAACUCUUUCACUUCGUGAUGCAUAUAUAUUUGUAUUGUCUCUAUAUCGCUUAUAUCUGUUGUUGUCUCUAUAUCGCUUAUACAUGUAUCGUCUCUAUUUCACUUAUACUUGUAGUCGCUUCUACCUGAUAGACGCUCUUACUUCACUUAUCGACGUCUCUACUUCGUGAUACGCUUAUGCUUGUUCGACACUCCUACUUCACUUGCAACCGCUCCUACUUCACUUGUUGGACACUCCUACUUCACAAGAAUCACUUCUACUUGAUACACACUCAGUCGUAGUUAGAUGUAUGUCUGUGCUUAUAUAGGUACAUAUAAGUAAUGAUUGAAAGACUUAGGAAGGCUCGUCCGCCCUAUUUCCUUUUCUUCGUUGAGAUGUGGUCUGGUGGGAUCGGAUGGCCGUCCGAAGGUCGUUUGAUUCAUUAGUUAUGUAUUAUGUAUAUGAGUAUAGACAUACAGGAAGUCUCUAGUCAGUUCAGUUAAGAGUCUCUACCUCUAGUCCACACUUACAUUAGAAACGCACUACCCACUAUUUGGAAGUCUCUACCUCUAGUUCAGCACUUACACACUACCCACUAUUUGGAAGUCUCUACCCACUAUUUGGGACGCAUCUUCAGGACACGGCCUUCUCCGUUGUCUAGUUGGUAACCAGAAUCUCCUGUAGGGAGAGCGGACAUUGUGUGUAUAGAUCUAUACGGGAUUGAUAACCCCGCACCUAGACUGCUAGCUACAGUUUCGACCUACAAAGCCAACGGGUGACAAAUGUCAUAUUUUAGACGCUUGUAGGGCGUCUGGUACUCUAGUCAGUAUGGUUACGAGUAUCCCGGGUUACCUUAUAAUUCUUUGGCCUUAAGGUAACGGUAUUUCGACAGCAAUUUACAUUGUAUGCUGGUAAUUCUUUUUCAGAGUCACACUGUUUUGACCUUACAAGACGUAUCUUUCAUUUGACACUGUCUGGGAUCUGUCUUCUCUGUUUUGAACUUACAAGACGUAUCUUUCAUUUGAUAUUGUCUGGGGUCUGUAUUCACUGUUUGAGACCUUACCAGCUGUACCUUUCAUUUGGUACCUUCUGGGGUCUGUGCCUCCAUUUGUUAGACUGAACCAGGCAUGUCGUUCGUUCGAUACUUUCCUGGAGUCUAUGAUUCCUUGCCUUAGUCAGCAGUCCUCACUGCUGAGGAAUAUGUUAUUCCCUGAUGUCGUUUCCUUUCCUCAAUAAUCAAAUUCAGUAUUUUGAUAAUAAUUGCAAUUUAGGGAAAACUACUUUUUAUCACAUAACACUGACCAACCAUGGUAGAAGGCUGCUUUAUUAAAGAAAAUAUAGGAUUUUCUGGAAAGAACUCUAAUACACAGUAAACACUUAAACAACUACUUUAUAAAGUUAUUUGAAUAAAUGUCACUAAAUACUUAUGAACUCACCAGCAUUUGAAAAAUGUUGAUACUCACUUUUCAAAUAACUUGUAUUCUCAGGUCAGCAAUUAGACAGGUACACCCCCGGAGCUGUUGAUGAAGAUUGCUUAGUACCUCGCUGUACUUUAUAUAUAUUUGCCUGUAUUACUUAAUACUUUGUAAUGUAAACCAUGUAAAAUUAUUACUAUUAAUGCAAUGUUUUUGUUGUACUUUGAUCACUAUAAUGCAUGUGUUGUGAUACUUGACAUGACGUCAUCCACCCCAUAACGUUUCCGCCGUUCCGGUUUUGGGGUGUGACAGAUUGGUAUCAGAGCAUUGUUUAUAGUGAGCUAAGUAUAUCAAUUCAUAAAAGAUAUACAACCUAUAAACACAAAGGGAUAAAACACUCUGACCAAGAAUUAUACUUUAAAAUAUAACCAUAUUUUACCAAAGUAUAAUAACAUCNAUGUAAAAUUAUUACUAUUAAUGCAAUGUUUUGUUGUACUUUGAUUACUAUAAUGCAUGUGUUGUGAUACUUGACAUGACGUCAUCCACCCCAGAACGUUUCCGCCGUUCCGGUUUUGGGGUGUGACAGAUUGGUAUCAGAGCAUUGUUUAUAGUGAGCUAAGUAUAUCAAUUCAUAAAAGAUAUACAACCUAUAAACAAAAAGGGAUAAAACACUCUGAUCAAGAAUUAUACUUUAAAAUAUAACCAUAUUUUACCAAAAGUAUAAUAACAUCCAGAAUCUAAACACUCGAACACAAGUAUCACAAGAACAACAAGAAUAAAAGUCGUCGGAUGUUGAGCAUUACCGUCAAACCUGGGCAGUUAUGUAAUCGUAAGCUGGGAUAAAUGUAACCUGAUCAACUACAUUUAUCCGAGAUGCGAUGAACAUGUGCUUGGGAGUGAUAGUGGUGUACAACAGGUCUGAAACUUACCAAAUAGGAUUGCUAGAGCCAAACAUAAAGUUAAAAUACUAUAGGAGUAUUUUAGAACGCUAAAAGAUUCACACUAAUCCCAGAAUGAUACUCAGAAGAUAAGAAACAAACAAGAAUUAAAAUACCAUAGGGGUAUUUUAGGAAACAUAAACAACCUUGCGUGAAUAACUAAAAAGAUCCUUAUUUAUAUACCUACAACUACAGAGGGUGUACUCCCAAGGUUAUAUAUAACAAGGAUCCCAUAGGCUAAGAAUGUGUGGUUUCGCUCUAUUUCCUUUUCCUCGUUGGGAUGUAGCUCUAGAGUAGUAUUACAUGUUCGAAGGCCUAUCGGAUCUAAGUUAUAUAUGAUUUGUAUACCAUGUGUAAUUGUAGCAGGACUCGAUACGGAUCAUACAGUGAAAUGUUAAUAAUCUCUUAGGAUUCUUUAGACAAACCAAUCCACUUCAGUACUCGGCAGAAGAGUUGAUUAAGAUCCAGAAGAGGUUCAUUGAGAAGAUUUCCUGUUCGGAAAUAAAUGAACUGGGUCGAGACUAUUGAAUGCACCAAGUACCCAUAUUCUUUUAGGGACAUUGGUGAGAAAUUUUCCUAAACUUCCGAGAUUCCCAGUUGCCCUUUUAGAGGUGAUGACACCCAUUGUCGGAUUCGGAAGUGAGGUAAAGUAGAAAUUCAAUAUGUCCAUACGAGAAGAGAACCCUAGGAAACUACCCAAAGGAAACCAACGUCGAUUCCAGUCAAAGAUACGAGGAACACAGAGGGAGCCAGUACAUGGAACCCGAGAAUUGCCUAUUCCUCGUGUUCGUCACGCUAAUACACCCUUAAAAGAAUACAAAUUUAGUGAGUUAGUGGUUACACUACUCACGCUAUGUGUUAGGUAAAUCGUCGUUUCCCGUUGCCAGAUACACGAUUAGGGUGGAUCCCCGCAUCUCUAUUGAGAGAAUUUAGUCAUUUGCCCUUGUGAGCCUCUCUUUCUGCAGUUUCGUUCCGAACUGUUCUCAAAUCUCUCCAGGCCGGAGAGUGAAACCUUUCCCAGUAUAAAGGUAACUUAGUAGGAACGAUUCACAUCUUAUGGCCUUUUUCCGAUACUCAUACACCCACUUCGAUUACCAGGACUACAUCAUCGGGAUGUAGGUCGACACUCAGACGACCAGUACCCAAGGCACGGGAAAAAUUUAUUCAUAAUACAUUCAGGACAGAAAUGUCCAGGGUUAACCAUCGUCUCUCAUUACCUUGUAUUCCUUUCCGUGUAGGAAAACCAUGCCACCAAAGAAGCGUAACCAGUCUACAAGCAAGAAACCCACUCUCUUAUUCGAUGAAGCUACGUUCCAAGCUGCAGUCUCAGCAGCCGUAGCAGCUGUCAUGGCUCACCUGAAUGCUAACACCGCAAAUGUUAGCAAGGGCCCUGUCGGGAUUUCCAAUCCUGGCAAUGGACAGCAGCAACCAACACUUCCAUACUCAGCCACCCAAGAACCUCACUCAAACCCACUAAAGAGAAAACUCAAGAUUGAGGAGGGAAGUACCUCGGCUCAAGGACCUUCCGAAGGGCAACGAGCUGAGACGGCCAAUGCUCCUGUAAAUCCUUCCCUCCCGACUCCAAGAACACCAUACCUAGGAGACCUACCCCACUGCAGCAAGUGCAGCUACCAUCAUCAUGGUGCAUGUCGGGAACUCUAUUGUGCCAGGUGCAACAUGAAGGGGCAUACUGCUCGUGUAUGCAGAACUCCGGUGGAGCGUAUUGCAUCAAUCACCAAUGUGACGACCAAUCCAGUUUGCCAUCUAUGUAGUACGAUUGCACACUUCAAAAGGGAUUGCCCAGCUGAAGAAAACAACAAGGACACAGGAGGAGCCUGACUCUACUGCUUAGGAAGAAGCGUCAAGGAACUCAGUAGAUUUUUGGUACGUGUCUCGAUCUCGGAUAACUAAACUAAAGAAAAUAAAGACAAAUUCAAAUGUAAGUAUUUCCCCAAUAAGGCGAAAGUCGCAACACUAUUUUAAAAUUUAAAAUUUCAUUAGGUAAAACUAUAAUGGCUAAACAUAUACGUCACGGCCAUGUAUAGUUAAGAUGGACAGACCUAGAGUGAGCGAAUGCCGCCUCAUUUCCUGUUUCUCGUUUGGUUGUGGAUUUAGGGCGGGGUCGCUCAGUAAAUAGUACUCCCCACCUUAAAUAUACAUCACUAGUAUAUGUGAGGCGAUUAUAGAAAUGCCUCGUGAGAAUCCAUUCAUGAAAAGGUACUCUACUCAGAAACACUUAGGACUCUCUAUAGUUCCGCGUCGACUCUAUCAGUCCAGGUAUCCGCGGUAGUGAUACACAGGACGAAACCCGAGAUGCCGAGAACUUGUGUGGCUGUUCGGCACAUGACUCUAUCGAUCUUUAUAUCAUGUCGAAGUGUGCCAACUUCGACGACCCUAUCGAUCAUGGUUUGACUUCAUUCAACCAUGUGUUCAUUCUUAGUGCGGUGUAAAAAGAACUUUCUCCAUAGCCAUGUCGGCAAAUAAAGGUUCUUCCAAACCUAAACCUAACACAAAUAAUCAAACCUAAUGCGAUCCGUCAAUCGUCUCUCUUAUCUCAAACCUUCCGAAGUACCCAAGAGAGGGUACCACGCGCCGUCGACCAACCCCUCGUAGUCAGAUGGACACCGAAGCGAAGGACACUGUAGAAACUCCAGUAGACGAAAACCAGCCAAAGCAUACUCUGUAGAUUCCCCCGAGAGACCCUUCGCACCUCGCACAUCAGGAUCGUGAACCCAGAGGACAAAACUCAUGAGACUGACCACUAUAACUAGGUAUAUGCGUAAAGGUGGCAUAUAAUUGAGAUCAAAAAGAUUUAAGGUGUGUGUUUCCUCCGUAUUCCCUGUUCCUCGUUGGGUUGUGGGUUUGGGGUGGAGUCGCACAGCUGAACAUCCUGCCGACCUCAAUUGUAUACUGCCUGCAUACACCCGGUAUUUGUGGUUAGACUAAGCAUGAGCUCUACCACGAACCUCUUAGAAAAGCCCUUCACCCUAUUCCAUAAAAUAGGAGCCGGAGUCAAGAGAAUCACUGCGAGUUGAGCUAUUAAAGUUCCGAGUGAUGAAACUCUAUACCCACUAGAUUUUACCUAGACCGAGAAAACUCAGAACCUUCGGAAGAGUAGUUGCAGUAGGUGCUCGCACUACUCAGGCACCUCGUCCACCCAGUUAUAGACGAGCAGUGCAUAUCAUCCUCCACCCUCUUGCAUGGAGGAAAUCGUCGUCGCCCUGUAGACGAUAAAAUACCUUCUCCGAAGUGAACACUAGGAUACCGAGAACCACAGGAUAACCUCCGCAGCCAAGAAUCCUUGAUUAAAGGGCGACAGUAGUUGCGUUGAACCUCGUGACCCAGAUCCCGAAGAGAUUAUAGACUCGACACCAGCCUUGGUGUUAGUCGAGGGGUUAUGCAGGAACAUGCGCUUUCCGCACUAGAAUAAACCAAAGUUUUGGAAAAUCCUUGGACUAUUAGGUGUUUCACGAAUACUAUUUCACGCAGCGAUAGUAGAACCACCUCCCGAGAUAAUCCAACACUCGUCUGGUGAAACCCUAUCUCCCCGACCCUCAGGAUUUCCGCAUCUCAAGAGCCUUUAGUGCAGAUUCAUUUUGCACAAGCUUGAGAUAGACACUCUACAGCAAACAGAUAACCGUAGAUACGCAACCCAUCCGAUGACCUAGAAAGUCUCUAUCAGCCAGUUGACAGGAAACGUGAAACCGAAAGAUCACUAGAGAAUCCUAAGAACCAACUUGAAGGACUACACACACAGUACGGGUGAGAACGUUAGGAACUUCGGAAUGGCGAUCACGCCAGUGAUGAUCUUGCCAUAGAAGUACACUAUGUUCUAAGUACCGAAAAAGCUCUACCCUUCCGAGAGCUUAGGACCAUCUGAGAAUUCUCAUGGAGAUUUGGUCCAACCUUCGAUAGACCGCUACUACCUUCGGAUAUACCACAAUACUCACACCUGAUCGAUCCACUUCUUAGACUAGAUAUGCGAUUGCCCGACAUCACUCUUCGUGCCUCACUCAUCUUGAUAGAAUCCAUUGAGAACCCUAACCGUGUAGAUACACCAGUUGUAACCCACUAGCUACACGAGACGGAAUCCGCAUCCCGUACGUGUUCGAUAGACCGCUACUACCUUCGGAUAUACCACAAUACUCACACCUGAUCGAUCCACUUCUUAGACUAGAUAUGCGAUUGCCCGACAUCACUCUUCGUGCCUCACUCAUCUUGAUAGAAUCCAUUGAGAACCCUAACCGUGUAGAUACACCAGUUGUAACCCACUAGCUACACGAGACGGAAUCCGCAUCCCGUACGUGAGGGUCUGUUGGAAUGACAAACACAGACCAGAGAUCACUUGAGAAUGCGAGGACAAACCAUAUAGGAAGUACUCUGUUACCUCUACUUGUCCAUUCAUACCUACUUCCUUGCCUAGACCUGAAUUUCGGGACGAAAUUCCCUCUAACGGGGGGAUGAUGUGACAACCCAAGUUGUUUCGUUACAUUUCCCCGUUACCGUUAACGGAAUAUUCCAGUUUAUAAAAGUUCCGUUAAUUAGAGGUUGUCAAUUUAAUAAACAUUUCAAUUGUUUACAUCUAAUAUGUCGUUAAGUCGUGAUAAAAGGAAAUAAAAAAACCUAACACACAUUUCCAUUUAUUUGGAAAAUGUUAAGUUUUAUUAUUACGACCACUAAAUCGGGUGCGACCAAAAGCCCCGUAUAACGACAGUGAUGGGUAGAUUCCCACUGAGCUCCAACUCCCACCCAUAUAUAAGGGGGAGUAAACUCCAUUUGAGCUCUUUCCACCCUAUCUCUCUAAACUCUCUCUCAAGACUCGUUUUCGCCCCGAAUCCGCAACCAAACGCUUCCAAAUCGUAAGUCCGCUUACCCUUGCUUGUUCUAAACAUAUUGAUUCGUGUUUAUAGCCCAAAAAUCGGACUUAGAGGCUGUUAGAAUGGAUUUUAUGGCCUAAGCUCCUCCUUAGGCCGUAAACCCCUAAAUAGAGGGCAAAAUGACCCCAAAAUGCCCCUAAAGGCUUGGAAUUAAAUUGGGGAUUUAGCCUAGGAGUGUUUGACCAUUUAAAACAAACAAAAUGGGGCAUAAAAGGGAGUUUACGGCCCAGGCAUAUGCCAAGGCCGUAAACACCUCUAAACCUUGUCUAAAUGUCCCAAAAACACUCCUAAAACACCCUUGGACUUCAUACAUAAAUUAGGGGCUUAUCCUCUUGGGUUUAGAUCAUUUAAACAUAAGGAUUUGGAGGAUUAAAAGGAGUUUAUGGCCCAGACAUGUGUCAAGGCCGUAAACUCCCCAAACCAAGCUAAAAAUGUGGUUUUUGCCCCCCAAAUGGCCUUAGACUAUUUUUAUAAAAUGCUAGGAAGGAUUUAAGGGCUUAAACUACAAGAGUUGUCGGUGUAUGAGAUUUCACGGCCAAGCCAUAGAGCUUACCGCCGUAAACUCUCAAAGAUUGGUCAUUUGGACAAAAAACUCUAAAGGAAUGCACCCUUGGAACCCCAAACACCCCUAUAGCCUUGAAUAAAUUACUAGAAGUGAUCUAUGGGCUUUAAACUUCCAUAAAAUCAAAGGAUAGGAGUUCACAACCGUGAACUCCCUUAGGAGUGGUUCAUGGGCCGUAAACUCCAUGAUGGAGCCCUUAGAAGCCUUAAACCCAUUCAUGCCUUCUGGAAUUGGACCUAGAAAAAUCCCACNAUAAUUCCAUGAACAAGCUAGAAGCCUUAAACACACUAGAACCCUUCACCAUGAGUUUACGGCCGUAAACUCAUGGUGAGUAGUCCCUGGGCCGUAAACAUCAUAAAACGGGUUUACUCUCGGAGAGUAAACUCCAUUCCUAAGCCAUACGCACCUUUAGACGCUACCUUGGACACCCAAACACUUAUCUAAAGUGGUUUCCGCUCCUUUGAGUGUGUAUACGUGUUUAAUUAGUACUAAAUAUACUAAUUGUAUGUGAACAUAUGUUAUCAUAUGCUAAAUAGGUCAUUAAGUGUGUUCGAGUCGUACGUGACACCGAACACCCAAACGGCACCUUCGUCGAACCUACUUACACCAGGUGAGUUCAUACCCCUGAAUGAACCUUUUAAAUGUUUUUACAUGUUUUAUAGGGGGGCGGGGGAAUACAAGUUAAACAUGCCAGUUAUCAUAUCAAUCACAUGUGAUUAAUAGCUCGCAUGCACAAGAUUUUACCACACUUUACAUUGUUUUACCGAGUAGGACACUAUAAAGGUUUUCAAUUGUUUCAAAACUCUUACUUAUAUGGUUUUAUCUAAAUUCAUGCUAAACUGGUUUAUGAAAGAUUUACAAAUGUUUUCAAACAUGUUUUUACAAAAGAAUGCAAAUUGUGAUUUUCCCCGAGUAUAAAGAUUUUUCAUCAAAGUUCCCUUUCACGACGUAUGCUUUUACUUGUUAAUUUCUACUGCUUCGCUUUCAUGUAUUUUAAACUCCUACUCGAUAACUCUUUCACUUUGGGACGCAUAUAUAUUUGUAUUGUCUCUAUAUCACUUAUAUCUGUCGUUGUCUCUAUAUCACUUAUACCUGUAUCGUCUCUAUUUCACUUAUACUUGUAGUCACUUCUACCUGAUAGACACUCUUACUUUACUUAUUGACGUCUCUACUUCGUGAUACGCUUAUGCUUGUUCGACACUCCUACUUCACUUGCGACCACUCCUACUUCACUUGUUGGACACUCCUACUUCAUAAGAAUCACUUCUACUUGAUACACACUCAGUCGUAGUUAGAUGUAUGUCUGUGCUUAUAUAGGUACAUAUAAGUAAUAAUUGAAAGACUUAGGAAGGCUCGUCCGCCCUAUUUCCUUUUCUUCAUUUAGAUGUGGUCUGGUGGGAUCGGAUGGCCGUCCGAAGGUCGUUUGAUUCAUUAGUUAUAUAUUAUGUAUAUGAGUAUAAACAUACAGGAAGUCUCUAGUCAGUUCAGUUAAGAGUCUCUACCUCUAGUCCACACUUACAUUAGAAACACACUACCCACUAUUUGGAAGUCUCUACCUCCAGUUCAGCACUUACACACUACCCACUAUUUGGAAGUCUCUACCCACUAUUUGGGAUGCAUCUUCAGGACACGGCCUUCUCCGUUGUCU
RNAcentral lists this long non-coding RNA (9421 nucleotides) under Lactuca sativa (garden lettuce). RNAcentral describes it as "long non-coding RNA (LSAT_LNC008880)". The record is from RNAcentral. Lineage: Eukaryota; Viridiplantae; Streptophyta; Magnoliopsida; Asterales; Asteraceae.